GAGUUUGAUCGUGGCUCAGAUUGAACGCUGGCGGCAUGCCUUACACAUGCAAGUCGAACGGUAACAGGUCUUUCGGGAUGCUGACGAGUGGCGAACGGGUGAGUAAUACAUCGGAACGUGCCUAGUAGUGGGGGAUAACUACUCGAAAGAGUGGCUAAUACCGCAUGAGAUCUAUGGAUGAAAGCAGGGGACCUUCGGGCCUUGUGCUACUAGAGCGGCCGAUGGCAGAUUAGGUAGUUGGUGGGAUAAAAGCUUACCAAGCCUACGAUCUGUAGCUGGUCUGAGAGGACGAUCAGCCACACUGGGACUGAGACACGGCCCAGACUCCUACGGGAGGCAGCAGUGGGGAAUUUUGGACAAUGGGCGCAAGCCUGAUCCAGCAAUGCCGCGUGCAGGAUGAAGGCCUUCGGGUUGUAAACUGCUUUUGUACGG
This 432-nucleotide ribosomal RNA is filed under the name uncultured beta proteobacterium. RNAcentral describes it as "bacterial SSU rRNA". It matches the Rfam family "Bacterial small subunit ribosomal RNA", at positions 9 to 443 of the family's 1533-position model. The record is from RNAcentral. Lineage: Bacteria; Pseudomonadati; Pseudomonadota; Betaproteobacteria.